GGCAGUUGAAUAUAUAUAUAUAUAUAAUAUAAUAAAAAUGGAUUCUUAAUUGCUACAAUCUAUGAACGGUAGCAAUUAGAACAGUGUAUUGAUUCCUUUAUCCUCUAAUCCUCUCUCUCACGCGUCUUCGGUUUUUGCCCUAAAUAAUUUGUAAUUCUAAAAUUACCCUUCCAUUCGCAUAUUCACAGUGUACUUUACCCGGUUCCAUCGUCUUUUCCCUUCAUCGAAACGACAGUGUUUCAUUGAGAAACUAUUUCAGAGCUGUUAGCUCCUUCUCUCGACAGUGUAUGGCCAUUCUCUCGUCGCUCCGUCAUCUCUCCAUGGGAUGGUUGCGCCCUUGCGCCCGUCUACCCACCAGCGUCUGCCUCUGCAGUAUCUCACCUUUGCGCCUUCUGAAACCUCCUGUUUCUCACUUCUCCCCGUCCAAGUAUUUUAGCGCCUUUGCGUGCGUCUACACAACGUUCUCCUCUACAAUAUCUCACUGUUGCGCCCUCAAAAACUCCGCUUCGUGCUCACUGCCCAAGAUUCAGCCCAUACCCUGUUUCUAUCUUCUCUUCGUUCAUCUAUUUCAGCGUCUCCAUGCGCGUCUGCUCACCGGCGUUCUCCUCUGCGGUGUCUCAUCGCUGCGCCUUUGAAAGCCCCUUUCUUGCUCACCGCCACAACUUUCAGGCCAUGACUUGUUUCUCUCUUCUCCCCAUCCAUGCACUGUCGUGCAUUUGUGAGGGCGCGACUGUACGCAGGUCUUUGUAUUUUGCCGUCUGUUCUUUUAAUGGCCGCGUAUUGAAGCUCUUUUUAUUUUUUCUUGCUUUGGCCACUAUUGCCUAUUUAUCUCUGCAUCGUUUUCUUUACUGUUGUUUUUCCUCAGAUCACUGAUAAGUUGUUUGCGUUGCUGUGUGCUGAGUAGUGCAAUUGAAAUUUCUUUUUGGUUUUAAUAUCCGUGUAUUAUUAUGUAUGGGUCUUGUAUUCUAUUAGCGUCGACUUGACUCCAUUUGUUUCAAAAAUGUCUUAAUGCACUGGUACUCUCUUUGGUAAGUAAUUCCAGACGUAGCUUCCGUUGGAGGUUUGGCUUUAUCUUAGCUACUGUUUUUUUUUUUAUUUAGCUUUAAUUGUUUGUUUUUUCAAUUUUUUUACGGGUAGUUUAUUAGAUAUGACAUAUAAAUACUCAUUCAAUAUUAUUCAAAAUAUUAUUAGCUCUUUUAAUGGAUUUAAUUGUUAAUUGAUCAUUUAAUAUAAAUUUAUUAACUUUUUUAGUUACAUACUAAGUAUCUGUCGCUCUUCUAUAAUUAUUUCUAAAUUUGGCAAGAUAUCACUAAUUGUAAAAUUUUCUCAGAGAUUCAAAGGUUACGUACUUAUUUUUUUCUAUAAAUAGCAAGUCAUUUUAUCUGUAUGGUUGUCUUUCAAAUUGUUCUUCUAUAAUUUUUUUUGCUUUCUUUUCUUAUCUUUUCCAUGACGUUUUCUUACUAACUUCUCAUUCUUUAUUGUGCAGGGUUGCUAUCCUAACUUGGUUUUUCUUUGGUAUCGCUGCUGCUGUGGCUGUGGUUUUUGCUGCUGUUGAUUUGCCUUGUCUUCCUUUUUAUACUGCUGCUGUAGCUUUCCUUGAUAUUAUUCUGGUAUAUAUAUAAAAGCUGAGAAGUGUGAAUAAUUUAUAAAUUAUUAUUAUUUUAAAUUCACUUUAAAGUAUUGUUAAUAAGUAAAAUGGUGUAAUUUAAAAUCUAUAAUUCACAUGAG
RNAcentral lists this long non-coding RNA (1728 nucleotides) under Manihot esculenta (cassava). Its description in RNAcentral is "long non-coding RNA (MESC_LNC000757)". The record is from RNAcentral. Lineage: Eukaryota; Viridiplantae; Streptophyta; Magnoliopsida; Malpighiales; Euphorbiaceae.